RNAcentral lists this ribosomal RNA (292 nucleotides) under uncultured Bacteroidota bacterium. RNAcentral describes it as "uncultured Bacteroidetes bacterium partial 16S ribosomal RNA". The record is from RNAcentral. Lineage: Bacteria; Pseudomonadati; Bacteroidota.
GGACUACUGGGGUUUCUAAUCCUGUUUGAUCCCCACACUUUCGUGCCUCAGCGUCAGUUACAGUCUAGUAAGCUGCCUUCGCUAUCGGUGUUCUUGACGAUAUCUAUGCAUUUCACCGCUACACCGUCAAUUCCGCCUACCUCGUCUGUACUCAAGUCCGCCAGUAUCAAUUGCACCUCGACAGUUAAGCUGCCGUAUUUCACAACUGACUUAAUGGACCGCCUACGCACCCUUUAAACCCAAUAAAUCCGGACAACGCUUGCCACCUACGUAUUACCGCGGCUGCUGGCAC